This 568-nucleotide ribosomal RNA is filed under the name Lactobacillus gasseri. RNAcentral describes it as "bacterial SSU rRNA". It matches the Rfam family "Bacterial small subunit ribosomal RNA", at positions 371 to 930 of the family's 1533-position model. The record is from RNAcentral. Lineage: Bacteria; Bacillati; Bacillota; Bacilli; Lactobacillales; Lactobacillaceae.
AUGGACGCAAGUCUGAUGGAGCAACGCCGCGUGAGUGAAGAAGGGUUUCGGCUCGUAAAGCUCUGUUGGUAGUGAAGAAAGAUAGAGGCAGUAACUGGCCUUUAUUUGACGGUAAUUACUUAGAAAGUCACGGCUAACUACGUGCCAGCAGCCGCGGUAAUACGUAGGUGGCAAGCGUUGUCCGGAUUUAUUGGGCGUAAAGCGAGUGCAGGCGGUUCAAUAAGUCUGAUGUGAAGGCCUUCGGCUCAACCGGAGAAUUGCAUCAGAAACUGUUGAACUUGAGUGCAGAAGAGGAGAGUGGAACUCCAUGUGUAGCGGUGGAAUGCGUAGAUAUAUGGAAGAACACCAGUGGCGAAGGCGGCUCUCUGGUCUGCAACUGACGCUGAGGCUCGAAAGCAUGGGUAGCGAACAGGAUUAGAUACCCUGGUAGUCCAUGCCGUAAACGAUGAGUGCUAAGUGUUGGGAGGUUUCCGCCUCUCAGUGCUGCAGCUAACGCAUUAAGCACUCCGCCUGGGGAAUACGACCGCAAGGUUGAAACUCAAAGGAAUUGACGGGGGCCCGCACAAGC